Cydia pomonella (codling moth) is the source of this 1245-nucleotide long non-coding RNA. RefSeq lists it as uncharacterized. The transcript has 2 exons. NCBI's taxonomy places the organism in Eukaryota, Metazoa, Arthropoda, Insecta, Lepidoptera, Tortricidae. The record is from RefSeq and is a predicted model, not a curated record.
UUUACCUUUAAAAAAAUCAUAAUAAUGUAAAAGCGGACGUACUGGACCGUGACGUUAAUCCAGCAGCACAUCUUUGUCAGGGUGACAGUCCGUUAGGGACGCAGCUAUAAAUAAAGGCUGCUUAUAGCUGCGUCUUUAACGGACGUAGGGUGGACCACCUUCCACUCGAUGAAACAGGCCUUGGACCGGUCGAUGGUCACGACAGUGAGUAUUAUAUUCUUUGCUCACGACCCGGUACGCCAGUUUGUUAGAACCUUAAAUCGAUGACAUUGACAUCUAUGACAACUCGGUCGGCGUCUUGACACUAUCCGUCUACUCGUUAUUUACAAAACAUACAAAAGAAAAAUGAGCAAGCUUAACCGCAAUAAAAUUCACAAACUUAACUCUUAAUAUGGAUUACAAAUGAAAUGACUAUGGGGGUAUCAUAGAGCAUGGGUUUGCUCCGCUCCCUAGUCAUAAUUUACUUAUUUACCUACGUUACCGCUUAUUUGGGCUUAGUUGGCGCUCUGUUGUAUGUCAGAAGUUGCAUAGUGCAGCAUGAAUUUGCAAGUCCACCUGAAGAAAUAUAUACGGAACGUUAAGAUUGAAACACCUGUUAAAGAGUUGAAAAAUAUUUAUUAUUACAAAAUGUAAAACUCUCUGAAAUGGACGGCUUAUGAAAACAUUAAGUUUCCUGAUAUAUUUUGAUAGCGCGUCGAAAACGGAAUAAUUGCGAAAAUCACGAAUUCGAAAGACGCCAUGGUAAGUGUCACAGACACAGGAUUGUCACCACUGUCACCAUAAUAUAAAGUGCAUCGAGUCUAGAAUUAUUUGCGAUUUUUGAAAUGUACUCCAUUUCAACUACUGCUCCUUAAACAUUUGCUUAUACAUAGGUCAUACUCAAAUUCUACUGUAUUUUAGGCCCGAGCCUAUGUCAAGCCUUUUCGUAUUCAAAAUUAUGUGUUUCACAAUUGAUGUGGCAUUAUUUUGAAUGGCAUAUUAUGAACUCUAGUCGCCCAGGGGGGCCUACCGCGAAACCCGAAAUUCACAAAUUGCGGGGAUCUUUCUCUUUUACUCUUACUAAGACGUAAAGACGUAAUUAGUGACAGAGAAAAAUGCUCGCAAUUGACAAAUUUCGAUUUUCGCGGUUAUAGUCAUGCCAUUGUAUUUUGAAUCUUCAUCGGGUGGCUAAAAGAUUGAAUACAAAUGCAAUAUGGAAUACUGCAUGACAUGUAACUUAACCAAUAAACCAAUAGCUUGCUCCUA